Molecule: ribosomal RNA, 479 nt
Filed under: uncultured anaerobic ammonium-oxidizing bacterium
Lineage: Bacteria
Description: bacterial SSU rRNA
Rfam family: Bacterial small subunit ribosomal RNA
Source: RNAcentral
UUUCGCAAUGCCCGAAAGGGUGACGAAGCGACGCCGCGUGCGGGAAGAAGGCCUUCGGGUUGUAAACCGCUGUCGGGAGUUAAGAAAUGUAAGGAUGUUGAUAGCAUCUUUGCUUGACUAAGGCUCCGGAGGAAGCCACGGCUAACUCUGUGCCAGCAGCCGCGGUAAUACAGAGGCGGCAAGCGUUGUUCGGAAUUAUUGGGCGUAAAGAGCACGUAGGCGGCUAUGUAAGUCGGUUGUGAAAGCCUUCCGCUCAACGGGAGAACAGCAUCCGAUACUGCAUGGCUUGAGUGCGGGAGGGGAGAGUGGAACUUCUGGUGGAGCGGUGAAAUGCGUAGAUAUCAGAAGGAACGUCGGCGGCGAAAGCGACUCUCUGGCCUAUUACUGACACUGAGUGUGCGAAAGUUAGGGGAGCAAACGGGAUUAGAUACCCCGGUAGUCCUAACUGUAAACGAUGGGCACUAAGUAGAGGGGUUUUA